RNAcentral lists this ribosomal RNA (439 nucleotides) under uncultured bacterium. Its description in RNAcentral is "partial 16S ribosomal RNA". It matches the Rfam family "Bacterial small subunit ribosomal RNA", at positions 339 to 795 of the family's 1533-position model. The record is from RNAcentral.
CUACGGGAGGCAGCAGUGAGGAAUAUUGCACAAUGGGGGGAACCCUGAUGCAGCAACGCCGCGUGGAGGAUGACGCAUUUCGGUGUGUAAACUCCUUUUAUAUGACAAGAAAAUGACGGUAGCAUAUGAAUAAGCACCGGCUAACUCCGUGCCAGCAGCCGCGGUAAUACGGAGGGUGCAAGCGUUACUCGGAAUCACUGGGCGUAAAGGACGCGUAGGCGGGUUGGAAAGUCAGGUGUGAAAUCCUACAGCUUAACUGUAGAACUGCACUUGAAACUUCUAAUCUAGAGUGUGGGAGGGGGAGAUGGAAUUAGUGGUGUAGGGGUAAAAUCCGUAGAUAUCACUAGGAAUACCUAAAGCGAAGGCGAUCUCCUGGAACAUUACUGACGCUAAGGCGUGAAAGCGUGGGGAGCAAACAGGAUUAGAUACCCCUGUAGUC